Molecule: transfer RNA, 77 nt
Filed under: Brockia lithotrophica
Lineage: Bacteria; Bacillati; Bacillota; Bacilli; Thermicanales; Thermicanaceae
Also listed under: 5 other names
Description: tRNA-Arg
Rfam family: tRNA
About the family: Transfer RNA (tRNA) molecules are approximately 80 nucleotides in length. Their secondary structure includes four short double-helical elements and three loops (D, anti-codon, and T loops). Further hydrogen bonds mediate the characteristic L-shaped molecular structure. tRNAs have two regions of fundamental functional importance: the anti-codon, which is responsible for specific mRNA codon recognition, and the 3' end, to which the tRNAs corresponding amino acid is attached (by aminoacyl-tRNA synthetases). tRNAs cope with the degeneracy of the genetic code in two manners: having more than one tRNA (with a specific anti-codon) for a particular amino acid; and 'wobble' base-pairing, i.e. permitting non-standard base-pairing at the 3rd anti-codon position.
Source: RNAcentral
GCGCCCGUAGCUCAAUUGGAUAGAGCAUCUGACUACGGAUCAGAAGGUUGGGGGUUCGAGUCCCUCCGGGCGCGCCA